GACGAACCGAGCGAACGUUGUUCGGAAUCACUGGGCUUAAAGGGCGCGUAGGCGGGUGCUCAAGUCUGUGGUGAAAUCCUCCGGCUCAACCGGAGAACUGCCAUGGAUACUGGGUGUCUCGAGGGUGGUAGGGGUAUGCGGAACUAUCGGUGGAGCGGUGAAAUGCGUUGAUAUCGAUAGGAACUCCGGUGGCGAAGGCGGCAUACUGGACCACAUCUGACGCUGAGGCGCGAAAGCCAGGGGAGCAAACGGG
Molecule: ribosomal RNA, 253 nt
Filed under: uncultured bacterium
Lineage: Bacteria
Description: partial 16S ribosomal RNA
Rfam family: Bacterial small subunit ribosomal RNA
Source: RNAcentral